RNAcentral lists this transfer RNA (87 nucleotides) under Runella defluvii. RNAcentral's name for it is "tRNA-Ser". It matches the Rfam family "tRNA". From Rfam's summary of the family: Transfer RNA (tRNA) molecules are approximately 80 nucleotides in length. Lineage: Bacteria; Pseudomonadati; Bacteroidota; Cytophagia; Cytophagales; Spirosomataceae. The record is from RNAcentral. RNAcentral also lists the same sequence under 9 other names.
GGAGAGAUGGGUGAGUGGCUGAAACCAGCAGUUUGCUAAACUGCCGUACUCGCAAGGGUACCGAGGGUUCGAAUCCCUCUCCCUCCG